Small nucleolar RNA from Colossoma macropomum (tambaqui), 126 nucleotides. RefSeq annotates it as small nucleolar RNA SNORA79. The transcript has a single exon. Lineage: Eukaryota; Metazoa; Chordata; Actinopteri; Characiformes; Serrasalmidae. The record is from RefSeq and is a predicted model, not a curated record.
UGACGACAGUUCCUCCUGCUGCUGUGAAGUUUGGCGUGUCAGGAUUUUAGGUCGUCACAGAUUAAAGAGCCCCUCUAAACCAGUGUGUGUUUCUGUCCACUCUGGAUAAUGAGGGGCUCGACACUU